Molecule: long non-coding RNA, 1054 nt
Organism: Oncorhynchus tshawytscha (Chinook salmon)
Lineage: Eukaryota; Metazoa; Chordata; Actinopteri; Salmoniformes; Salmonidae
Source: Ensembl
GUGUUUACUAGUCUUGAUAUGUAGCGUGGUAUGUAGUGGUAUGGAAGGUGUUUACUAGUCUUGUGGUAUGUAGCGUGGUAUGGAAUGUGUUUACUAGUCUUGGUCGUGGUAUGUAGAGUGGUAUGGAAUGUGUUUACUAGUCUUGGUCAUGGUAUGUAGCGUGGUAUGUAAUGUGUUUACUAGUCUUGGUCGUGGUAUGUAAUGUGUUUACUAGUCUUGGUAUGUAGCGUGGUAUGGUAUGUGUUUACUAGUCUUGGUCAUGGUAUGUAAUGUGUUUACUAGUCUUGGUCGUGGUAUGUAAUGUGUUUACUAGUCUUGGUAUGUAGCGUGGUAUGGAAUGUGUUUACUAGUCUUGGCCGUGGUAUGUAGCGUGGUAUGGAAUGUGUUUACUAGUCUUGGUCGUGGUAUGGUAUGUGUUUACUAGUCUUGGUCGUGGUAUGGAAUGUGUUUACUAGUCUUGGUCGUGGUAUGUAGCGUGGUAUGGAAGGUGUUUACUAGUCUUGGUCGUGGUAUGUAGCGUGGUAUGGAAUGUGUUUACUAGUCUUGGUCGUGGUAUGUAGCGUGGUAUGGUAUGUGUUUACUAGUCUUGGUCGUGGUAUGUAAUGUGUUUACUAGUCUUGGUCAUGGUAUGUAGCGUGGUAUGUAGUGUGGUAUGGUAUGUGUUUACUAGUCUUGGUCGUGGUAUGUAGCGUGGUAUGGUAUGUGUUUACUAGUCUUGGUCGUGGUAUGUAGCGUGGUAUGGUAUGUGUUUACUAGUCUUGGUCGUGGUAUGUAGCGUGGUAUGGUAUGUGUUUACUAGUCUUGGUCGUGGUAUGUAGUGUGUUUACUAGUCUUGGUCGUGGUAUGUAGCGUGGUAUGGUGUGUGUUUACUAGUCUUGGUCGUGGUAUGUAGCGUGGUAUGGUGUGUGUUUACUAGUCUUGGUCGUGGUAUGUAGCGUGGUAUGGUGUGUGUUUACUAGUCUUGGUCGUGGUAUGUAGCGUGGUAUGGUGUGUGUUUACUAGUCUUGGUCGUGGACAGGACUGUUGGUUUCCUCUGUUUACUGGCCACAGCAGG